Long non-coding RNA from Anopheles coluzzii, 1244 nucleotides. RefSeq lists it as uncharacterized. Lineage: Eukaryota; Metazoa; Arthropoda; Insecta; Diptera; Culicidae. The record is from RefSeq and is a predicted model, not a curated record. The transcript is spliced from 3 exons.
CCUUUUGCAGCACACCGUUCAGGCCGUGCCGUCAUGUGUUUACCACCCAUUGCCACCCGUGCUCCAAACGGGUCGGGCUCUCUCUUGCAUUCUCGCAGCGCACGGCUGCCUCUCGCACCAUUGUUUGUUGACACCCACGCAGCAUUAUGUUGUGACGAUUGCACACGUGACCAACGUGAUCAAUAGGAGAGCGAGAGAGCUGUGCGUGCGUGUGUGGAUGUAUGUAUGUGUGUGUGUAGGGCUGGUGCCAUGUUUGUUUCCCACUUUGUACUCGGGCUUGUGUGAUAGUCAAAUGCGGGAGCAAACUGUUCACCGAAGCUCACGUGAUACAAACCACUCACUCUCUCGCAUCGCGCUUUCUCUGCCUUCAUUUUCGACCAGCUGGUGCUCGACGCACGAAAAGGAUACUCAUACGAAGCCGCACGAUGACUCUUUAUCGCUCUCUCUCUCUCUCUUUCGAAGCUCGUGAGGCUGGCAACGGCCGUUGGCUGUUCAGUCCAUUCAGUCGAGAUGUAGAUUUGGUGCGGGUUCGUUGGAUUACACUUUUUCGUCGCUACGGUGGCAAAUUGGCAUCCUGGUGGUGUACCGCCGACGGAAAGAGAAGGAUCUGAGCAUCACCGCCCGGCCCCCUCCUCCCCGCUCUCUCUCUCUCUCUCUAGUGAUCCGUUACGUGCGGCAAACCCCCCGUUAGAUGCGGGUGGUGCACUCGUGUGCUAUUCGUGUGUUUCUCCAAAGUGCAAAGUAACGCUUAAUUUACCAGCUUGCAAGCGUUGUGAACAACAGUGUGGAAGUGUUUUAUUUUCUCCCAGACACGCAGAAUGAAGAGUGAAUCGUGUGCGUGUGUCUAUGUGCUAGAGGCGAAUGAGUGAAAAGUUAAUCCAGAAUAGGAAUAGUGUGAUUACUAAAUGUGUUAAAAUCAAAAUAGAAAAAUAAAUAGUUCAAAGUGUAUGUUGUGAACGAAAAAAUAAUUGAAAAGUGUAAACACAGUGCUGGAAAAGGUGCUUAAUGUGAGAAGCUUGCUCGGUUUAACUUGAGAUUGUUCAUCAUUAAAAUUAAUGCCCACAAACUAAGCGCGCGCAUUCACGGGUUCAAUUCCCACCCGGAUCAUCACGUAGCGGCUGCGGAAACCGUCACGUUCGUCGUGUGUGUGGGUAAGCAACUUUUUCGUCCCUCUUUUCCAAGCAGCAUCUCGUUCAUCGAUCGUUAUUUCACAUGUGGGACCAUUAAAAGGGCACCACCACCUU